Ictidomys tridecemlineatus (thirteen-lined ground squirrel) is the source of this 480-nucleotide non-coding RNA. The record is from RefSeq and is a predicted model, not a curated record. NCBI's taxonomy places the organism in Eukaryota, Metazoa, Chordata, Mammalia, Rodentia, Sciuridae.
AGAUGAAGAGACUGAGGCACAAAGAGCAGAAUAAUUGACCCAAGGCAACAAAUGGAACAUGGUAGACUUGGAUGGCUUUCUGGCUCCAGGUGUGUCCAUGGGGAAGUUGGUGGAAGAGAUCAGCACUUGAAUCAGGAGAUUGAGUAAAGGAGAUGGGUUCCUCAAAGUAGGUGAGUCUCAUUCAACCCAAAGAAGGUCUAAAUAGAACAAAAUGGUGGAGGAAAGGUGACUCUUCCAGUCUGAGCCGGGACAUUCAUCUUCUCAUGCCUGCCUGGGCACCUUGCCUCUCCCCCAGGACCCUGGAGACUUGGACUUGGACUCAUACCAUUGGAUUUCCCUGGUUCAUAGGUUCUUCAGAUCCAAGUUGUAUUACACUACUGGCUUUCAUGAUUCCCUAGCUUACAAUAGCAGGGGGCAAGACUUCAUGGCCUCUACUAACCGUGUAAGCCAAUUCCUGUAAUAAAUCAUUCUCUCUGGGUC